Molecule: ribosomal RNA, 486 nt
Filed under: uncultured bacterium
Lineage: Bacteria
Description: bacterial SSU rRNA
Rfam family: Bacterial small subunit ribosomal RNA
Source: RNAcentral
GAUGAACGCUAGCGGGAGGCUUAACACAUGCAAGUCGAGGGGCAUCACGAGGUAGCAAUACUUUGGUGGCGACCGGCGCACGGGUGAGUAACACGUAUGCAACCUACCCUGUACAGGGGGAUAACCCGGAGAAAUUCGGACUAAUAUCCCGUAAUAAUAUCCGGAGGCAUCUUUGGAUAUUUAAAGUUCCGACGGUACGGGAUGGGCAUGCGUAACAUUAGCUGGUUGGUAAGGUAACGGCUUACCAAGGCUAUGAUGUUUAGGGGUCCUGAGAGGGUGGUCCCCCACACUGGUACUGAGACACGGACCAGACUCCUACGGGAGGCAGCAGUGAGGAAUAUUGGUCAAUGGGCGCAAGCCUGAACCAGCCAUCCCGCGUGCAGGAAGACGGCCCUAUGGGUUGUAAACUGCUUUUCCAGGGAGAGAAACUUACGCACGUGUUGCGUGACUGACGGUACCUGGGAAUAAGCAUCGGCUAACUCCGUG